GCAACAGCGCCUUGUCGUUCGGUCUUUGCUCUGUGACAUUAGAGGAAGCGGCAGCUGCUGCAGGAAUUUCCGAGACAAGAGACGCGCACUUGUCCGUCCGAUUUCUUCCCCUUGAGAAGAAGAGCCCUUGGCUCUUUCUUGGCACAAGUUUAGCAGACACCACGAACCGUAGAACGAUCCUCGUUCGUUUGCUUGUUUGUUGUAGCUACAAUUUGGCUGACUCGAUUCUCGGGAAAUCCGUUCCACCGCAACAGAAGUCAAUGAUACGAUGACUGCUCUUUGAAAUCUGUUGAAACCGGGGCAAAUGAACGAAUUGGAAUAAAAAAGACGAGAGAUCAACGAUCCAACGAAACGUUAUCCAAAAAGUUGCUAGGGAACGAUGCCAAGGAACAUUGUUGCAUAAUGCCAACGUCGUUUUCUUCUUCUCCUUCUUCUUCGCAGCUGUGGAGCACGGCGUGUGUUCAGGUACCUAUAUUAACCCGGGUUGUGGAUGAGAUGAGGUUGUAGGAUAUAAGUUAGAAAGCUCCCGUGCAAAGCAACUGGCCAGCUUGCAGAGAAGCUGGUUCACCGCGCUGCUCUGAACGUUUCAUUGAAUAUUACGCAGGCCGUAGAAGAUGGAUAGCGGUCGUAUAGUGACAAAUGUAAUCACCAUUUUGCUAGCAUCAAUUUUCAACCGCGAAAUGAAAGCUCUGCAAGCGCGCGUUUGAAAUAUGAUUCACGAGCGAACCCGUUUGCUGUGAAGAGAUCACCGGUACUUUGCGUCACGUCACAACUCUAUAAAUGCAAUGAGUGGUAAUAACGUGAAAUGUACAAUAAUACCUUGCACCUUGUGGGUUGAAUUACCACGGAAAUUACCAGGGUGGGCACAAAUUUUUGUAAAAAUAAAAUUCCAUGACAUUUA
Long non-coding RNA from Neodiprion virginianus, 901 nucleotides. RefSeq lists it as uncharacterized. The transcript is spliced from 2 exons. Lineage: Eukaryota; Metazoa; Arthropoda; Insecta; Hymenoptera; Diprionidae. The record is from RefSeq and is a predicted model, not a curated record.